RNAcentral lists this ribosomal RNA (433 nucleotides) under uncultured bacterium. RNAcentral's name for it is "partial 16S ribosomal RNA". It matches the Rfam family "Bacterial small subunit ribosomal RNA", at positions 29 to 507 of the family's 1533-position model. The record is from RNAcentral.
AACGAACGCUGGCGGCAUGCCUAACACAUGCAAGUCGAACGAGACCUUCGGGUCUAGUGGCGCACGGGUGCGUAACGCGUGGGAACCUGCCCUUAGGUUCGGAAUAACUCCCCGAAAGGGGUGCUAAUACCGGAUAAUGUCUUCGGACCAAAGAUUUAUCGCCUUUGGAUGGGCCCGCGUUGGAUUAGCUAGUUGGUAGGGUAAAAGCCUACCAAGGCGACGAUCCAUAGCUGGUCUGAGAGGAUGAUCAGCCACACUGGGACUGAGACACGGCCCAGACUCGUACGGGAGGCAGCAGUGGGGAAUAUUGGACAAUGGGCGAAAGCCUGAUCCAGCAAUGCCGCGUGAGUGAUGAAGGCCUUAGGGUUGUAAAGCUCUUUGACCCGGGAUGAUAAUGACAGUACCGGGAGAAUAAGCUCCGGCUAACUACGUG